UACAGAGGGUGCAAGCGUUGUUCGGAAUUAUUGGGCGUAAAGCGCGUGUAGGCGGCUUUGCAAGUCGGGUGUGAAAGCCCUCAGCUCAACUGAGGAAGUGCGCCCGAAACUGCAGAGCUUGAGUGCCGGAGAGGGUGGCGGAAUUCCCCAAGUAGAGGUGAAAUUCGUAGAUAUGGGGAGGAACACCGGUGGCGAAGGCGGCGACCUGGGUAGAUACUGACGCUGAGGUGCGAAAGCGUGGGGAGCAAACAGG
Molecule: ribosomal RNA, 253 nt
Filed under: uncultured bacterium
Lineage: Bacteria
Description: partial 16S ribosomal RNA
Rfam family: Bacterial small subunit ribosomal RNA
Source: RNAcentral